CGGUAACGCGUAUGCAAUCUACCUUUUGCAGAGGGAUAGCCCAGAGAAAUUUGGAUUAAUACCUCAUAGUAUGUGAGAAUGGCAUCAUUUUCACAUUAAAGUCACAACGGCAAAAGAUGAGCAUGCGUCCCAUUAGCUAGUUGGUAAGGUAACGGCUCACCAAGGCAACGAUGGGUAGGGGUCCUGAGAGGGAGAUCCCCCACACUGGUACUGAGACACGGACCAG
Molecule: ribosomal RNA, 226 nt
Filed under: uncultured bacterium
Lineage: Bacteria
Description: partial 16S ribosomal RNA
Rfam family: Bacterial small subunit ribosomal RNA
Source: RNAcentral